Molecule: long non-coding RNA, 684 nt
Organism: Helianthus annuus (common sunflower)
Lineage: Eukaryota; Viridiplantae; Streptophyta; Magnoliopsida; Asterales; Asteraceae
Exons: 4
Source: RefSeq, a predicted model, not a curated record
CAUUUCCUCUGGUGCGCCAUAAAUCAUCUCACACAUCCCUCCUAAAUCGUUUCCAACCUCAUCGACCAAAAUGCCUCGCCUCAUCUCCAAUCUCAUCUCAGAUUCAUCUCUGCGAUUAAACCCUAAAUCAUCUCCUCCAAUUGACCGAUUUCAUCUUCUAUUCCUUGAAAACUAGAUCGAUUGCAAGGUAUGAACUCGACCACAGUAUGGAUCUAUUAAUUAGGGUUUGCUCUAGUGAUUGGAGAUCUAAACAUCUUAUUCAAGUAGUAAUUAGCCAGUAUGGAUGAAUAUUAGGUAUUAUUUUAGUUGUUACAAAAGUUUCUUCUCUCUCUAAACUCGAUCCAUCCAGAAAUUGAUACGUUCGCUUCAGAAUCUCAUGGUUCCACCAUAUAUUGGUAGUGAAUUGGAUCUAUCAGUGAGGUUAUCAGUAAGAUCCUUUGGAACAGAAGGGCGAAAAAAAGAUGGUCCACAAGUACAUAAUAUUUCGCGGAAGUGAUAUCAAGGAUCUUCAGGUGAAAUCAUCUCAGCCUGUUCAACCCGUGCAGCCCAUUAACAGUGAUCCUGCCAUAAUUCAGUCUCAUUAUCCUCGGCCACCUGCACCAUCGUCAACCUUACCCGCUGUAGCUAGUGACCCUUCAUUCACUACCAGUACCUAUAACCCGCAUCUGGGUCAACCCGGGUCAA